ACCUACGGGGCGCAGCAGUAGGGAAUCUUCCACAAUGGGCGAAAGCCUGAUAGAGCAACGCCGCGUGGGUGAAGAAGGUCUUCGGAUCGUAAAACCCUGUUGUUAGAGAAGAAAGUGCGUGAGAGUAACUGUUCACGUUUCGACGGUAUCUAACCAGAAAGCCACGGCUAACUACGUGUCAGCAGCCGCGGUAAUACGUAGGUGGCAAGCGUUAUCCGGAUUUAUUGGGCGUAAAGGGAACGCAGGCGGUCUUUUAAGUCUGAUGUGAAAGCCUUCGGCUUAACCGGAGUAGUGCAUUGGAAACU
This 305-nucleotide ribosomal RNA is filed under the name uncultured bacterium. Its description in RNAcentral is "bacterial SSU rRNA". It matches the Rfam family "Bacterial small subunit ribosomal RNA", at positions 337 to 634 of the family's 1533-position model. The record is from RNAcentral.